CAUGCAAGUCGAACGCGAAAGGGGGGCAACCCCCGAGUAGAGUGGCGGACGGGUGAGUAAUGCAUCGGAACGUAUCCUAUAGUGGGGGACAACCUCGAGAAAUCGAGGCUAAUACCGCAUACGACCCACGGGUGAAAGCGGGGGACCGCAAGGCCUCGCGCUACUGGAGCGGCCGAUGUCCGAUUAGCUAGUUGGUAGGGUAAAAGCCUACCAAGGCGACGAUCGGUAGCUGGUCUGAGAGGACGACCAGCCACACUGGGACUGAGACACGGCCCAGACUCCUACGGGAGGCAGCAGUGGGGAAUUUUGGACAAUGGGGGCAACCCUGAUCCAGCCAUGCCGCGUGCGGGAAGAAGGCCUUCGGGUUGUAAACCGCUUUCGGCCGGAACGAAAUCGCCGGGGACAACACCCCCGGUGGAUGACGG
RNAcentral lists this ribosomal RNA (425 nucleotides) under uncultured bacterium. Its description in RNAcentral is "bacterial SSU rRNA". It matches the Rfam family "Bacterial small subunit ribosomal RNA", at positions 54 to 491 of the family's 1533-position model. The record is from RNAcentral.